UACGAAGGGUGCAAGCGUUACUCGGAAUUACUGGGCGUAAAGUGUGCGCAGGCGGCCGCGCAAGUCGAGUGUGAAAGCCCCGGGCUUAGCUUGGGAAUUGCGCUCGAAACUACGUGGCUGGAGUGUGGCAGAGGAAGGUGGAAUUCCAGGUGUAGCGGUGAAAUGCGUAGAGAUCUGGAGGAACACCGAUGGCGAAGGCAGCCUUCUGGGCCAACACUGACGCUCAUGCACGAAAGCGUGGGGAGCAAACAGG
This 253-nucleotide ribosomal RNA is filed under the name uncultured bacterium. RNAcentral's name for it is "partial 16S ribosomal RNA". It matches the Rfam family "Bacterial small subunit ribosomal RNA", at positions 524 to 776 of the family's 1533-position model. The record is from RNAcentral.